Molecule: ribosomal RNA, 484 nt
Filed under: uncultured bacterium
Lineage: Bacteria
Description: partial 16S ribosomal RNA
Rfam family: Bacterial small subunit ribosomal RNA
Source: RNAcentral
AUUGAACGCUGGCGGCAGGCCUAACACAUGCAAGUCGAGCGGAUGAAGGGAGCUUGCUCCUGGAUUCAGCGGCGGACGGGUGAGUAAUGCCUAGGAAUCUGCCUGGUAGUGGGGGAUAACGUCCGGAAACGGGCGCUAAUACCGCAUACGUCCUGAGGGAGAAAGUGGGGGAUCUUCGGACCUCACGCUAUCAGAUGAGCCUAGGUCGGAUUAGCUAGUUGGUGGGGUAAAGGCCUACCAAGGCGACGAACCGUAACUGGUCUGAGAGGAUGAUCAGUCACACUGGAACUGAGACACGGUCCAGACUCCUACGGGAGGCAGCAGUGGGGAAUAUUGGACAAUGGGCGAAAGCCUGAUCCAGCCAUGCCGCGUGUGUGAAGAAGGUCUUCGGAUUGUAAAGCACUUUAAGUUGGGAGGAAGAGCAGUAAGUUAAUACCUUGCUGUUUUGACGUUACCAACAGAAUAAGCACCGGCUAACUUCGUG